This 1284-nucleotide long non-coding RNA is filed under the name Fukomys damarensis (Damara mole-rat). RNAcentral's name for it is "lncRNA (ENSFDAG00000027681.1)". Lineage: Eukaryota; Metazoa; Chordata; Mammalia; Rodentia; Bathyergidae. The record is from RNAcentral.
GUAUUUAUGCUUAGUUAGAUGCACAUUUUUAUAUUUUAGGUUGCUAAGGAUUCACUCACAGUUAAACUUUUCUAGCAUAGGCUUCAUGAGGUCGGAAUGUCAUUUCAAACUUGGACAUGUGCUAUCCCAACAAUGCAUCAUGGGAACGUACGGCACAACAUGGCUGCCCAUGAGACGAAACUCAGCAUCUUGAGAUACGAUGAAGAGCGGAGUUUCUGUUGCUUACACCUCAAAUUAUUUACUCGAGACUGGCAGAUAUGAAUCAAGCCAAUGUUACUCUUGUCUUACGAGUCUGAAGGCUGAUGUGAACGGAAAUUGGAAUAAUGUGGCUAGUUGGCGAUACCCACCCGUUAUUAUUAGCACGUCUUAUGUUGGAGUGAAGAUGAAAGAACAGACGGGCCCAAGUAGUGCACUGAUUUCUGAAUUAAUGCCAGGCACACGUCAUGGAAGUGGAAGUCAGCUCACGUUCACCAUAGAGAACAUAUUCCUGAGAUACGUGAGCCCACAAGGAGACUGGAAAGUAAUGAACUCUUUCGUCAUCAGUGGAUGUGUGAGGCCACAACAUUAAAACCCAGCCUAUAUAACCUGAUAUAGGCUGACAACUAGGCAACUCAUGUUUGUGAAAGAUAUGUUGACAAAUUUCAUAUAUUAUUUGCAAAAAUAAUCAAACCAAAUAUUCUUGUUCAUUUCCGUUUUUAAUGUACUUGCAGCUCUUUUGCUGGGAUAAGAUAUCCCCUACCCCUUAAACACUUGCUUUGCACUUUAGUACGUGGUAGAAAUAACUUGAUCCUCCUGGUAGCCUAGACCAUUUCUACUCAACCUCUUAGAACUUCGCAAUAUAAUGAAACAAGUAAUGGUUACCAGCAGGAGCACAAUAAGCUAUUUUUGCAUUCAUAGAGUUAAUUGAUUCAUCCUGAAGUCUUAGAAAUAUGAGGAUUCAAAAAUGAACAUGGUAUGCAUCCAUCUGGUAUGAACUCAACUGAAGUCUCCCGGAACAACCAAGAUAAUGCUGGGACACACAAUGAAGAACAGCCUAUGUCACUAACCAACAAACUCAAGAUUCAUGGUUCUACGUCUCCAAGUUGUAGUGUGGUCCAUUCUGCUGUGAUUUGUUGGUCUUGUACAAUUAAUAAUUAUUAAUUAGGUUGGCUGUAAGAGCAAGCAGUAGCCAGACGCUCUUGGACCAAAAUGGUACAGGGAUAUGCUGUGUGAAGUAAAUGAAGUACUGGUAUGAAAAUAAAGAAAAAAGCAUUUGAGAUUCAUUGCGAAGCACUGAGAGUCCUG